Molecule: ribosomal RNA, 28 nt
Filed under: Tulasnella sp. 06082.I.1
Lineage: Eukaryota; Fungi; Basidiomycota; Agaricomycetes; Cantharellales; Tulasnellaceae
Also listed under: 17 other names
Description: partial 18S ribosomal RNA
Source: RNAcentral
UCCGUAGGUGAACCUGCGGAAGGAUCAG